UACGUAGGGUGCGAGCGUUAAUCGGAAUUACUGGGCGUAAAGCGUGCGCAGGCGGCUUUGUAAGACAGGUGUGAAAUCCCCGGGCUUAACCUGGGAAUGGCGCUUGUGACUGCAAGGCUCGAGUGCGGCAGAGGGGGGUGGAAUUCCGCGUGUAGCAGUGAAAUGCGUAGAUAUGCGGAGGAACACCGAUGGCGAAGGCAAUCCCCUGGACCUGUACUGACGCUCAUGUACGAAAGCGUGGGGAGCAAACAGG
Molecule: ribosomal RNA, 253 nt
Filed under: uncultured prokaryote
Description: partial 16S ribosomal RNA
Rfam family: Bacterial small subunit ribosomal RNA
Source: RNAcentral